UACGGGGGGGGCAAGCGUUGUUCGGAAUUACUGGGCGUAAAGGGCUCGUAGGCGGCCAACUAAGUCGGAUGUGAAAUCCCCAGGCUUAACCUGGGAACUGCAUCCGAUACUGGAUGGCUUGAAUUCGGGAGAGGGAUGCAGAAUUCCAGGUGUAGCGGUGAAAUGCGUAGAUAUCAAGAGGAACACCUGAGGUGAAGACGGGUUGCUGGGCCAACACUGACGCUGAUGCGCGAAAGCCAGGGGAGCAAACGGG
RNAcentral lists this ribosomal RNA (253 nucleotides) under uncultured bacterium. RNAcentral's name for it is "partial 16S ribosomal RNA". It matches the Rfam family "Bacterial small subunit ribosomal RNA", at positions 524 to 776 of the family's 1533-position model. The record is from RNAcentral.